This 67-nucleotide transfer RNA is filed under the name marine eukaryotic metagenome. It matches the Rfam family "tRNA". From Rfam's summary of the family: Transfer RNA (tRNA) molecules are approximately 80 nucleotides in length. Their secondary structure includes four short double-helical elements and three loops (D, anti-codon, and T loops). The record is from RNAcentral.
GCAGUGGCUCAACUGGUAGAGCAUCGGUCUCCAAAACCGGCGGUUGGGGGUUCGAGUCCCUCCUGCC